AAAUAAUCUGUCUUGUGGCAAUAGAAUUCUUAUAUUCCCUGUGCUGCCUGUUGCUGCUUUGUGGGGCUCUCUUUGCUUUGCCUCAUUAUGAGAGACUUGUGAGAGUAGCAGCAAGGCUGUAUUAAGCUCCACAUAAGAUUCCCACUGUCUCUUUAUUUUGGCAUGCUGCAAAUCUUGCAAAGAUAUUCCUUCUACUGGAAUUCUCCCUUUGAAAAGCAGAUGGCUCACUCAAACAUCUGGAAAAGCUGUCCCUGAGUGAAGUAGUGACUUGAUGUAAUGGCUUUCACAGACCUGUAUUUCCAAAAAGAUGAGGCUGACUCUCAAAGAUGCCAAAUGUCAAAUGGAUCAAAUGGAUCCAUCAGCCGUUCUCUGUAUUCCUUGUGUAAAGUCAAGGCGGACUUUGGUAUGUAGAGAUUGAACCCUUUAUAGAAGAGUUGCUGUGACACAGAGAAAUGAUUUGCUGUUUUAUAAUAGGUUGGGGUGGAAGAGGAUCGAAAUUAUUUGCAAUUGAUUUAUAAGGUCUUAUGCAGUUCACCUGGCAAUAACUUAGAAAAAGAAUCUUUUACAAUGUAGAUAUUGCUAGAUAGCUAUGAUUUUUUUUUUAUGUGAUCUUUUAACGCAGCCUUGUAAAUGAGCUCUCCUUCAUUCCUAAAGAGGUUAUUUCAGAGCAGAAUUUACAUUUAUGGUAUUGAUCAAAGAAAUAGAUAGUUGCCAAAUAUAUCUGGAUAAUAGUUUCAUGAAUAACAGCUGCUUUAUAAUUUAUAAUGCUUUAUAAUUCCCACAAAAUACAAAGUGCGUAUUUGGUCCUUCAAAGGGAAGUCAUUGUGGGGAGAAAUGGAAUGCCAGAGUAGGUGAACAAAGCUUCUGAUAAUUACAGUGUAAAAGAAUGCAACAUAGAACAGUAAGGUCUCUGGCCCUUUAUUAAUGCUUUUCAAAGCUGAGAUUUUCUGAGCCUUCUGUGGCCAUUAGUGCUUCAUUCUUAACACGAAGAGUUCAAUAACAUUUUACCCAAAUCCUGCUUUUUGAAUAUUACAAGAUGACAUAAUAUCUGUGGAGACAGAUUUCAAAUUGUCAUGUAAAUUUCUGGAGCAUUAGCUUUCAAAGUUUAUUACCGCUUUCUAAUAUUCAUUGCUCUUAAGCUUCUUAUUUACAGAGGCAGUCUAUCUAUUUUGAAUGACUGUGGUAAAUGGAGAGAUUAAUAUAACGUUUCCUACAAAAUCUCUUUACUUGGGAGCCAAUGACUAGCUAGGUUUUGUUACUUAUUUUUUAUUUUCUUACUUUUGUUUGUGUAUAUGUAUGUAUUUUAUUUUCAGUAAGUAAAAGCACUUGCAAGGCAGAAUCGUUACACUUGUCCCAGGCCAUAAGGAAUCCUUUUAAAGUAAUCUCAAAAAUACACAGAAGAUACUACAAAGGGCAAUGUAUAUACCACGCAAAAAGAGAUUGUCCUUGAGAGCUUUGAAUAAAUAUCUCCUUUUGUUCCUCGCAAUUUCUCAACAGAAUGGAUGUAUUUUUUUUAAGAAAUGCAUCAGUCACCCACUUGAAAAUAUGAUGUUUGCUAUUUUAUUGUGUAUAUUUUCAUGAUUUUAGUAUGUAAUAUGUCGGGUUCUGAACUGAACUUGCAGGACAUAUUUUAAAAGUAAACUUUCAAUAUUUGUUUCAUCAUAAGUAAAAAACUUUUGUUCUUUCUCAAUGUUAUGAACAAUUAAUAUUCCAUUUAAUUUCCUGCUCAUUUAUUUGAAUGAUUUGAAAAUUAUACUGUAUUGUUUUUUUCUCUUGACCAACACAUACUAUGCACUCUAGGAAAUAUGGUGAGAAAAAAAGUCUUCUAAGUGUGUUGGAAUGUGAUGUAGUAAAGGCAAGCAUGGGAACUGUAAUCAUUUUUAUAACUCCCUAUAUCGUUAUUGAAAAUUUUGAAGAUGGUUUAUGAACAUUAAAUAUCAAUAUUUGAGUUAAAGAUGCAUUUUUAUAUUUACUCUCUUCUUACAGCUUACAGUAACUUUCUUCUUAUAACUUAUAGUAACUUACAGCUGUUCUCUCUUAGCUUUUUGAUUUUUUAAAAAUAAUACAGUUUAUGUAUUUUUUGAAAAUAAUGUCAAUGUGAUGAAUGAAAACAUGGAUUUAGACCAUUCAGCUAGCGAGUGCAAUUAUAUCUACUUUCACCUUGGCCAAAAGUGUAGAAGUGCAUGUGUGCACAGGUGUAUUUAUUUGCAUAGCUGUAAUAGAAUGAAAGCAGUAUGAUCAAAGAAAACAGAACUCAAAAGGGAAUGAUAUCUACCUGUUAUUCAUAUGUAGCUGGUCAUCAGAGAAGC
Molecule: long non-coding RNA, 2309 nt
Organism: Gallus gallus (chicken)
Lineage: Eukaryota; Metazoa; Chordata; Aves; Galliformes; Phasianidae
Source: Ensembl